UUAUUAAGAUAAUUAAACAAAUAUUAUUCGGCCUUUAAAUCAAAAUUUUUUAAAGCUUUGUUCUAAUGAGUCAAGAGGAAUAGUUUGAGGAACUAAGAAUUCUUUCCCCAAUAUAAUUAUUAAAUACGUGUAUCUCACAAAAAAAUGAAUUACAUGUAAGGAACAUCUUACAGACUAGUGCUAAGUAUGCAUGAAUAUCUGUCCGAAAGAAAAAAUUUACUUAAAAACCCAAUUAAGUUACGAAGCGGCAAUAAUAUUUGUAAAUUUUCAACAAUAUUUCGAAGUGGUUCCAUAUGUUGAAGUUGUUAAGCAGUGAAAACUAGUACUAACACGUACUACAUGUAUUUAGUAAUGGGUCGAUUGAACUACUAAAAAAAUUUAAUUCUCGAUUGUGAGAUUAUUUAACUCAAAAAACAAUGAACUGGAUAUAAAGCGUCACAAUUAAUCUAAACAUUUAGCCAAAACCCAAAUGUGAUGAUACAUUCGAGGACAUGCCAUAUGCCUACUGAUUAUUCUGGUAACGUAAGGUUUUUGGGAAUGUAAUUCCUCCUAAACAUUUCCAUUUCUUCAAUUCCCAAACAGAAUGAUUUACCAACAUUUUAUGGUUUUAUGGUGACAACGGAUAGAGCUGUUCAUACGCUGAUGUGAGGAUGAUUUGACAUGCUAUAUGUCUUUAGGCUACCGAAUAAACUGAAUACCUACAACCUAAGAUAGUUUUGUAACUAACCAAUUUCUACCAACUCACGUCAAUAUAAAAAAUCUUAAACUUUUAAUGAUAACAAAGUUGUAAUUGAAAAAAAUAUUAGAGAAUAUGUAAUAUACACCCCAUACAUAAUGUCUUCUAAUCGAUCUGGUAAUAAGGAAGGUUACUGGAUCAAUUGAAUUUAAAAAUAUAAUAAUGGACUUAUUCGAUUUUUAAUUAUUGGAAAUGGAUGGCUACCGUGUGAUGAGAAAAUUGGGAUUUUACUGGUACAUUUAUUUUGAACGAGUUAAUGCAUAUUUGCGGAGAUUGCCCCAUGAGUGAGGCAUAAAUGUUAUCAGUAAUCAAUCAAAUAAAAAUUGUUGGUUAACAUAAUAUUUAAUAAAUUA
This is a long non-coding RNA of Teleopsis dalmanni, 1089 nucleotides long. RefSeq lists it as uncharacterized. The record is from RefSeq and is a predicted model, not a curated record. The transcript has 7 exons. Lineage: Eukaryota; Metazoa; Arthropoda; Insecta; Diptera; Diopsidae.